UGAGGAAUAUUGGUCAAUGGACGCAAGUCUGAACCAGCCAAGUAGCGUGCAGGAUGACGGCCCUAUGGGUUGUAAACUGCUUUUAUGUGGGAAUAAAGUGGCGCACGUGUGCGCCAUUGCAUGUACCUCAUGAAUAAGGACCGGCUAAUUCCGUGCCAGCAGCCGCGGUAAUACGGAAGGUCCGGGCGUUAUCCGGAUUUAUUGGGUUUAAAGGGAGUGUAGGCAGUCUGUUAAGCGUGUUGUGAAAUUUAGGUGCUCAACAUUUAACUUGCAGCUCGAACUGUCAGACUUGAGCACACGCAGCGCAGGCGGAAUUCAUGGUGUAGCGGUGAAAUGCUUAGAUAUCAUGAGGAACUCCGAUCGCGAAGGCAGCCUGCGGGAGUGUUACUGACGCUUAAGCUCGAAGGUGCGGGUAUCGAACAGG
RNAcentral lists this ribosomal RNA (424 nucleotides) under bacterium. Its description in RNAcentral is "partial 16S ribosomal RNA". It matches the Rfam family "Bacterial small subunit ribosomal RNA", at positions 355 to 776 of the family's 1533-position model. The record is from RNAcentral.